RNAcentral lists this ribosomal RNA (468 nucleotides) under uncultured bacterium. RNAcentral describes it as "partial 16S ribosomal RNA". It matches the Rfam family "Bacterial small subunit ribosomal RNA", at positions 28 to 507 of the family's 1533-position model. The record is from RNAcentral.
GAUGAACGCUGGCGGCGUGCUUAACACAUGCAAGUCGAACGGAAAGACGCUGCUUUUGCGGGGUGCUCGAGUGGCGAACGGGUGAGUGACACGCGAGUAACCUGCCCCUGACUUUGGGAUAACAUCAGGAAACUGGGGCUAAUAUCGGAUAUGAGCUCCUGCUGCGCGGUGGGGGUUGGAAAGUUUCGGCGGUUGUGGAUGGAAUCGCGGCUUAUCAGCUGCUUGGUGGGGUAGUGGCUUACCAAGGCUUUGACGGGUAGCCGGCCUGAGAGGGUGACCGGCCACCAUAGGACUACGAGACGGAGCAGACGGGUAUGGGAGGCAGCAGGGGGAAAUAUUGCAGAACGGGCGGACGCCUGAGACAGAGGCGCCGCGUUCGUGAUGACGGCCUUCUGGUUGUGAACCGCUUUGGCCUGUGCCGUGGCGUGAUUGACGGUAAUUGAUAAAGAAGCACCGGCUAACUACGUG